CUGGAAGCAGAGAAUCUGUUUUCUCACUGGCUACUGGAAGCAGAGAAUCUGUUUUCUCAUUGUCUACUGGAAGCAGAGAAUCGGUUUUCUCAUAGGCUACUGGAAGCAGAGAAUCGGUUUUCUCAUAGGCUACUGGAAGCAGAGAAUCGGUUUUCUCAUAGGCUACUGGAAGCACUCAGAAUGUGGCUGAUUGUGCAUCCCAAAUGGCACCCUAUUCCCUUGGUAGUGCACUACUUUUGAACAGGACCCAUAGGGAAUAGGGUGCACUAUUUUAGAACAGGACACAUAGGGAAUAGGGUGCACUACUUUAGAACAGGACCCAUAGGGAAUAGGGUGCACUAUUUUAGAACAGGACACAUAGGGAAUAGGGUGCACUAUUUUAGAACAGGACACAUAGGGAAUAGGGUGCACUACUUUAGAACAGGACACAUAGGGAAUAGGGUGCACUAUUUUAGAACAGGACACAUAGGGAAUAGGGUGCACUACUUUAGACCAGGACACAUAGGGAAUAGGGUGCACUACUUUUGAACAGGACCCAUAGGGAAUAGGGUGCACUACUUUUGAACAGGACACAUAGGGAAUAGGGUGCACUACUUUUGAACAGGACCCAUAGGGAAUAGGGUGCACUACUUUUGAACAGGACCCAUAGGGAAUAGGGUGCACUACUUUUGAACAGGACACAUAGGGAAUAGGGUGCACUACUUUAGACCAGGACCCAUAGGGAAUAGGGUGCACUACUUUAGAACAGGACCCAUAGGGAAUAGGGUGCACUACCUUAGACCAGGACACAUAGGGAAUAGGCAUAUUCCAUUAUAAACAAUCUCUGUUUAGAGGUGACCUAGCCCUAUUCCAUUAUAAACAACCUCUGUUUAGAGUUGACCUAGCCCUAUUCCAUUAUAAACAACCUCUGUCUAGAGGUGACCUAGCCCUAUUCCAUUAUAAACAACCUCUGUUUAGAGGUGACCUAGCCCUAUUUCAUUAUAAACAACCUCUGUCUAGAGGUGACCUAGCCCUAUUCCAUUAUAAACAACAAUAUAACUAUGUUUAGAGGUGACCUAGCCCUAUUUCAUUAUAAACAACCUCUGUUUAGAGGUGACCUAGCCCUAUUCCAUUAUAAACAACCUCUGUCUAGAGGUGACCUAGCCCUAUUUCAUUAUGAACAAAAGUUGAACUUAGAGAACUUAGAGCCACUGUUACUUUUAUUGUAAAUUAUUUAACUUUUCAUUUUUAUUGUAAAUGAUUAAAAUCUUACUUUUAUUAAUUAAAUUGUACUUUAGCGUAAAU
Molecule: long non-coding RNA, 1284 nt
Organism: Oncorhynchus tshawytscha (Chinook salmon)
Lineage: Eukaryota; Metazoa; Chordata; Actinopteri; Salmoniformes; Salmonidae
Source: Ensembl